Molecule: small RNA, 148 nt
Filed under: Pongo abelii (Sumatran orangutan)
Lineage: Eukaryota; Metazoa; Chordata; Mammalia; Primates; Hominidae
Description: Metazoan signal recognition particle RNA (ENSPPYG00000041217.1)
Source: Rfam by way of RNAcentral
GCUGGGUGUGGUGGCCCACACCUGUAAUUCCAGCUACUCAGGAGGCUGAGGCAGGAGAAUCACUUGAACCUGGGAGAUGAAGGCUGCAGUGAGCCAAGGUCACGCCACUGCACUCUAGCCUGGGUGACAGAGUAAGACUCUGUCUCAA